Small nuclear RNA from Microtus ochrogaster (prairie vole), 160 nucleotides. RefSeq annotates it as U1 spliceosomal RNA. The transcript has a single exon. NCBI's taxonomy places the organism in Eukaryota, Metazoa, Chordata, Mammalia, Rodentia, Cricetidae. The record is from RefSeq and is a predicted model, not a curated record.
ACACUUCCCUGGCAGGGGAGAUACCAUGGUCACAAAGGUGGCUUUCCCAAGACGAGGUUUAUCCACUACAUUCCCAUGCUGGACAAGGUUUAUCCAUCGCACUACACGUGUGUCUGUUCCUGAGAUUUCCCCAGAUGUGGGAAACUCGGCUGGGGAAAAC